GAUGAACGCUGGCGGCGUGCCUAAUACAUGCAAGUCGAGCGAACGGACGAGAAGCUUGCUUCUCUGAUGUUAGCGGCGGACGGGUGAGUAACACGUGGAUAACCUACCUAUAAGACUGGGAUAACUUCGGGAAACCGUAGCUAAUACCGGAUAAUAUUUUGAACCGCAUGGUUCAAAAGUGAAAGACGGUCUUGCUGUCACUUAUAGAUGGAUCCGCGCUGCAUUAGCUAGUUGGUAAGGUAACGGCUUACCAAGGCAACGAUGCAUAGCCGACCUGAGAGGGUGGUCGGCCACACUGGAACUGAGACACGCUCAAGACUCCUACGGGAGGCAGCAGUAGGGAAUCUUCCGCAAUAGGCGAAAGCCUGACGGAGCAACGCCGCGUGAGUGAUGAAGGUCUUCGGAUCGUAAAACUCUGUUAUUAGGGAAGAACAUAUGUGUAAGUAACUGUGCACAUCUUGACGGUACCUAAUCAGAAAGCCACGGCUAACUACGUG
This 497-nucleotide ribosomal RNA is filed under the name uncultured bacterium. Its description in RNAcentral is "partial 16S ribosomal RNA". It matches the Rfam family "Bacterial small subunit ribosomal RNA", at positions 28 to 507 of the family's 1533-position model. The record is from RNAcentral.